Molecule: ribosomal RNA, 253 nt
Filed under: uncultured bacterium
Lineage: Bacteria
Description: partial 16S ribosomal RNA
Rfam family: Bacterial small subunit ribosomal RNA
Source: RNAcentral
GACGAGCCACACAAACGUUGUUCGGAAUUACUGGGCGUAAAGCGCGUGUAGGCGGCCCUGCAAGUCGGAUGUGAAAUCCCACGGCUCAACCGUGGAAGUGCAUUCGAAACUGCAGGGCUAGAGUCCUGGAGAGGAAGGUGGAAUGCUUGGUGUAGAGGUGAAAUUCGUAGAUAUCAAGCGGAACACCGGUGGCGAAGGCGGCCUUCUGGACAGUGACUGACGCUGAGACGCGAAAGCGUGGGGAGCAAACAGG